RNAcentral lists this small nuclear RNA (164 nucleotides) under Microcebus murinus (gray mouse lemur). RNAcentral describes it as "U1 spliceosomal RNA (ENSMICG00000048065.1)". It matches the Rfam family "U1 spliceosomal RNA". From Rfam's summary of the family: U1 is a small nuclear RNA (snRNA) component of the spliceosome (involved in pre-mRNA splicing). The record is from Rfam by way of RNAcentral. Lineage: Eukaryota; Metazoa; Chordata; Mammalia; Primates; Cheirogaleidae.
AUACUUACCUGGCAGGGGAGAUACCAUGAUCAUGAAGGUGGUUCUCCCAGGGCAAGGCUUAUCCAUUGCACUCCGGAUGUGCUGACCCUUGUGAUUUCCCCAAAUGCGAGAAACUGGACUACAUAAUUUGUGGUAGUGGCAGACCGUGUUCACACUCUUUCCUG